ACAGGGAUUGCCCUAGUAACGGCGAGUGAAGCGGCAACAGCUCAAAUUUGAAAUCUGGCUCUUUUAGAGUCCGAGUUGUAAUUUGCAGAGGGCGCUUUGGCGUUGGCAGCGGUCCAAGUUCUUUGGAACAGGACGUCACAGAGGGUGAGAAUCCCGUACGUGGUCGCUAGCCUUCGCCGUGUAAAGCCCCUUCGACGAGUCGAGUUGUUUGGGAAUGCAGCUCUAAAUGGGAGGUAAAUUUCUUCUAAAGCUAAAUACUGGCCAGAGACCGAUAGCGCACAAGUAGAGUGAUCGAAAGAUGAAAAGCACUUUGGAAAGAGAGUCAAAUAGCACGUGAAAUUGUUGAAAGGGAAGCGCUUGCAGCCAGACUUGCCUGUAGUUGCUUAUCCGGACUUUUGUCCGGUGCACUCUUCUGCGGGCAGGCCAGCAUCAGUUUGGGCGGUUGGAUAAAGGUCUCUGUCAUGUACCUCCUUUCGGGGAGGCCUUAUAGGGGAGACGACAUGCAACCAGCCUGGACUGAGGUCCGCGCAUUUGCUAGGAUGCUGGCGUAAUGGCUGUAAGCGGCCCGUCUUGAAACACGGACCAAGGAGUCUAACAUCUAUGCGAGUGUUUGGGUGUCAAGCCCAGACGCGUAAUGAAAGUGAACGGAGGUGGGAACCUUUUAGGUGCACCAUCGACCGAUCCUGAUGUCUUCGGAAGGAUUUGAGUAAGAGCAUGGCUGUUGGGACCCGAAAGAUGGUGAACUAUGCUUGAAUAGGGUGAAGCCAGAGGAAACUCUGGUGGAGGCUCGCAGCGGUUCUGACGUGCAAAUCGAUCGUCAAAUUUGGGCAUAGGGGCGAAAGACUAAUCGAACUAUC
RNAcentral lists this ribosomal RNA (857 nucleotides) under Sclerostagonospora ericae. RNAcentral describes it as "LSU rRNA". It matches the Rfam family "Eukaryotic large subunit ribosomal RNA", at positions 68 to 944 of the family's 3401-position model. The record is from RNAcentral. Lineage: Eukaryota; Fungi; Ascomycota; Dothideomycetes; Pleosporales; Phaeosphaeriaceae.